GCCUCGAUAGCUCAGUUGGUAGAGCGCAGGUUUGAAGAACCUGGCGUCACUGGUUCAAUUCCAGUUCGAGGCACCA
This 76-nucleotide transfer RNA is filed under the name Roseivirga misakiensis. RNAcentral's name for it is "tRNA-Phe(gaa)". It matches the Rfam family "tRNA". From Rfam's summary of the family: Transfer RNA (tRNA) molecules are approximately 80 nucleotides in length. Their secondary structure includes four short double-helical elements and three loops (D, anti-codon, and T loops). The record is from RNAcentral. Lineage: Bacteria; Pseudomonadati; Bacteroidota; Cytophagia; Cytophagales; Roseivirgaceae.